GACGAACGCUGGCGGCGUGCUUAACACAUGCAAGUCGAACGGAAAGGCCCUGCUUUUGUGGGGUGCUCGAGUGGCGAACGGGUGAGUAACACGUGAGUAACCUGCCCUUGACUUUGGGAUAACUUCAGGAAACUGGGGCUAAUACCGGAUAGGAGCUCCUGCUGCAUGGUGGGGGUUGGAAAGUUUCGGCGGUUGGGGAUGGACUCGCGGCUUAUCAGCUUGUUGGUGGGGUAGUGGCUUACCAAGGCUUUGACGGGUAGCCGGCCUGAGAGGGUGACCGGCCACAUUGGGACUGAGAUACGGCCCAGACUCCUACGGGAGGCAGCAGUGGGGAAUAUUGCACAAUGGGCGGAAGCCUGAUGCAGCAACGCCGCGUGCGGGAUGACGGCCUUCGGGUUAUAAACCGCUUUCGCCUGUGACGAAGCGUGAGUGACGGUAAUGGGUAAAGAAGCACCGGCCAACUACGUG
RNAcentral lists this ribosomal RNA (468 nucleotides) under uncultured bacterium. RNAcentral's name for it is "partial 16S ribosomal RNA". It matches the Rfam family "Bacterial small subunit ribosomal RNA", at positions 28 to 507 of the family's 1533-position model. The record is from RNAcentral.